GCUCGUAGCAAUACGGGAGUGGCAGACGGGUGAGUAACGCGUGGGAACAUACCCUCCGGUUCGGAAUAGCUCAGGGAAACUUGGAUUAAUACCGGAUACGGCUGAGAGGCGAAAGAUUUAUCGCCGGAGGAUUGGCCCGCGUUCGAUUAGCUAGUUGGUGAGGUAACGGCCCACCAAGGCUCCGAUCGGUAGCUGGUUUGAGAGAACGACCAGCCACACUGGGACUGAGACACGGCCCAGACUCCUACGGGAGGCAGCAGUGGGGAAUCUUGGACAAUGGGGGCAACCCUGAUCCAGCCAUGCCGCGUGAGUGAUGAAGGCCUUCGGGUUGUAAAACUCUUUCGACGGGGACGAUAAUGACGGUACCCGUAGAAGAAGCUCCGGCUAACUUCGUGCCAGCAGCCGCGGUAAUACGAAGGGGGCUAGCGUUGUUCGGAAUUACUGGGCGUAAAGCGCGCGCAGGCGGCUUCUCAAGUCAGGGGUGAAAGCCCAGAGCUCAACUCUGGAACUGCCCUUGAAACUGUGGAGCUUGAGUACGGGAGAGGUGAGUGGAAUUCCCAAUGUAGAGGUGAAAUUCGUA
This 580-nucleotide ribosomal RNA is filed under the name uncultured bacterium. Its description in RNAcentral is "bacterial SSU rRNA". It matches the Rfam family "Bacterial small subunit ribosomal RNA", at positions 68 to 692 of the family's 1533-position model. The record is from RNAcentral.